Molecule: unclassified non-coding RNA, 239 nt
Filed under: fungal sp.
Lineage: Eukaryota; Fungi
Also listed under: 1 other name
Description: partial internal transcribed spacer region
Rfam family: Eukaryotic small subunit ribosomal RNA (bases 1-46)
Source: RNAcentral
AAGUCGUAACAAGGUAACCGUAGGUGAACCUGCGGUUGGAUCAUUAAAAAUUAGGCAGUAACAGUUCCAGAGUCCCCUUUGGUUGAUUCGGGCUGUUCUGCUUUAAACACUUGUGAACUUUGCUGUACUUUGGGUUGCUACUCUGCGGUAGUAACCCAACCAAUGGUUAACACUUUAAAAUUGCCUGAAACUAAGAAAUCUUAAAGCAAAAACUUUUGACAACGGAUCUCUUGGCUCUC